UACAGAGGUCCCAAGCGUUGUUCGGAUUCACUGGGCGUAAAGGGGGCGCAGGUGGUCGGGUAAGUCUGACGUGAAAUCCCGCAGCUUAACUGCGGAAUGGCAUUGGAUACUAUUCAGCUAGAGGGUUGGAGGGGGGACUGGAAUUCUCGGUGUAGCAGUGAAAUGCGUAGAUAUCGAGAGGAACACCAGUGGCGAAGGCGAGUCCCUGGACAACUACUGACGCUGAGGCACGAAAGCUAGGGGAGCAAACAGG
This 253-nucleotide ribosomal RNA is filed under the name uncultured bacterium. Its description in RNAcentral is "partial 16S ribosomal RNA". It matches the Rfam family "Bacterial small subunit ribosomal RNA", at positions 524 to 776 of the family's 1533-position model. The record is from RNAcentral.